AGAGCGAACGCUGGCGGCAGGCCUAACACAUGCAAGUCGAGCGCCCGUAGCAAUACGGGAGCGGCAGACGGGAUAGUAACACGUGGGAACGCGCCCUUCGGUUCGGAAUAACUCAGGGAAACUUGAGCUAAUACCGGAUACGCCCUUACGGGGAAAGAUUUAUUGCCGAAGGAACGGCCCGCGUCCGAUUAGCUAGUUGGUGAGGUAAUGGCUCACCAAGGCUACGAUCGGUAGCUGGUCUGAGAGGAUGACCAGCAUCACUGGGACUGAGACACGGCCCAGACUCCUACGGGAGGCAGCAGUGGGGAAUCUUGGACAAUGGGCGAAAGCCUGAUCCGGCAAUAUGGCGUGAGUGAAGAAGGGCAACGCAGCUUGUAAAGCUCUUCAUCGAGUGUGCGAUUGUGACAAGACUUGAAUAAGAAGCCCCGGCUAACUCCGUGCCAGCAGCCGC
This 451-nucleotide ribosomal RNA is filed under the name uncultured bacterium. RNAcentral describes it as "SSU rRNA". It matches the Rfam family "Bacterial small subunit ribosomal RNA", at positions 26 to 518 of the family's 1533-position model. The record is from RNAcentral.